Molecule: non-coding RNA, 323 nt
Organism: Ictidomys tridecemlineatus (thirteen-lined ground squirrel)
Lineage: Eukaryota; Metazoa; Chordata; Mammalia; Rodentia; Sciuridae
Source: Rfam
GGAUGAGAGUGUAAUCUGGCUGCAACAUCUGUCAACCUAUUGAUUGACAGGGUUGACUCAACUUACCUGGCUGGCUAGACCAGUUUCCUCUUCCUCCCUCAUUACUCAUGUCAGACUUCCUAAAACGGCAUGCCCAGUUGAAGAGGAUGACCUUCCCUGAUGAAGGAGGACCAUUCUUUUGUUGAGUAUAUAAAAGUAGCCAGGCUCCCCUGCAAGCCCUUCUAACAAGCUCUGGAGGUCCAUUUAUAGGAGAAGAUAGAGUGGUCAAGCUUCCAGGAUUCCAGACACAUCCAAAUGAGACGCUGCACAUGGCAGUCUUUUCU